AUUGAACGCUGGCGGCAGGCCUAACACAUGCAAGUCGAGCGGAUGAAGGGAGCUUGCUCCUGGAUUCAGCGGCGGACGGGUGAGUAAUGCCUAGGAAUCUGCCUGGUAGUGGGGGAUAACGUCCGGAAACGGGCGCUAAUACCGCAUACGUCCUGAGGGAGAAAGUGGGGGAUCUUCGGCCCUCACGCUACCAAUGGACCCUAGGUCGGUUUAGCUAGUUGGUGGGGUAAAGGCCUACCAAGGCGACGAUCCGUAACUGGUCUGAGAGGAUGAUCAGUCACACUGGAACUGAGACACGGUCCAGACUCCUACGGGAGGCAGCAGUGGGGAAUAUUGGACAAUGGGCGAAAGCCUGAUCCAGCCAUGCCGCGUGUGUGAAGAAGGUCUUCGGAUUGUAAAGCACUUUAAGUUGGGAGGAAGGGCAGUAAGUUAAUACCUUGCUGUUUUGACGUUACCAACAGAAUAAGCACCGGCUAACUUCGUG
Molecule: ribosomal RNA, 484 nt
Filed under: uncultured bacterium
Lineage: Bacteria
Description: partial 16S ribosomal RNA
Rfam family: Bacterial small subunit ribosomal RNA
Source: RNAcentral